This 6163-nucleotide long non-coding RNA is filed under the name Mytilus galloprovincialis (Mediterranean mussel). The record is from RNAcentral. Lineage: Eukaryota; Metazoa; Mollusca; Bivalvia; Mytilida; Mytilidae.
GUCCGUGUUGGUCCACUUUCUACUGGUUAUAAGACAGAAGUAAGUACCGACUCAAUCUUUGUUUACAAAGUUACAACAGUCUGUAACAGACUGAAUCUGUAUGACAUGUGAAUAAGUUAUCGAUAUCGAUGCUGGGUUUAAUACAACGGUUUGAGAGAGUGCCGCCCAUUUAUUGGGGUAUCAGGUCUGUUCGCGCCCAAUAUACUUUCGCACCCUAAACGUUCGCACCUCGCACGUUCGCACCCAAGGUCCGUUCGCACUCUACACGUUCGCGCCCAAUUUUAAUUCAAAUUCGAGUUGAAUAAUUGGAAAAUCAUGAUUGUUGUUUUUAAUUGCUUUCGUGUAUGUAUUUAUAGCUUGGUAUGAGUAAAAGAUUGAACAUUCAAAAUUAAAUAAUUAAAAAAAAUAUCAUCUUAUUUUUCAGAUCAUCUAUUGAAAGUGCCAUUAACAAAAAUUAAAGAAUUUCAUUCCCACUUAGAGGGACUACAUAGGAUUCCUCAGCAUCAACUCUCUGAUCAGGUAUGUACACCAAAGUCACUGACAGCAAUCAUACACACUCGUUGCUUUUCUUGCAGCAGCGUCGUCAUCCUUAGCAGUGUCAAUAAUUGUUGAGUUUGUUGCUUAAGGUAGUUAAAUUAGAACAUCUGGUGAUAGAUCAAUGAAAUUUUCUAUAAAGUUGCAUUACUGUCAGUACUUCUAAAUAAGAAGAUGUGGUAUGAGUGCCAAUAAAACAUCUCUCCAUCAAAGUUACAAUUUAUGAAAACCUUCACACUACCUAAGACAGUUGUGUAAUAUUACAACAUUAAAAGACACUCUAUGAACUAUCAAUUGAAAUUGCUUAAAUCAAUCAGAACUUAAAGUGCAAAGUCUUGGUGAAAAGUUGUGAUUAAAUUAUCAGAGACUAUCAAAGAUCUCUAACAUUAACAACAGAAAUUCUAUAGAAAAUAAGGAGUUGUCAAUCAAAAUUAUAUUUUUAUUUUAAUUUUUCAAUGAAUUUGAUUUAAUUUUAUGAUGAGCAAUACAGCUAAUUAGGAAUAAUUGAACUGUUCUGUCAUUGUAAACAAAUUUUGCCAUUAUACAAUGACAAAUUAUUCAUAGUCAAUAGCAGCAGUUGUAUUUUUCUUUCAGCUGACUUUAAGUUAUUUUAACAGUAAUGUGAUAGAUGUAAAAGGGUACAGCCAUGAAAACGAUCCAACAAGGUAAACAUAAAAUCAGUUUCUACAAUAUUUACAAAAUAUGGUUACUGUGCCUCGAUGUAGUAUCAAGUUUUAUAUUUGUAUAUGAGUUAUAUAAUUAUCUCCCUUUGAAACUUUUUCUGAACUUUUCAAUAUAAUGAGAUAUAUUGAUACUUUGAAUUCAGAAAUGAGGUUUUGAAUAAUGCAAUUGGGGGAGUAUCACAAUAGUAAUAACUAACAUUUUAAUAUCUGCUACAUAUAUCUGUAUGCAGCGUUUCCUGAAAUUGCAAUAAUCAAUGUUGCAUUUUUGUCCGUUCAUUUAAAAUUGCAAUAAUUAGGUCUUUCCACCUUUACGUGUGGAAAGACCUAUUGAUUUUGUUCUGAUUAUUUAUUUUUUUUUUUUUUUCUUCCGCCUAAUUUUUUCUUGCGGUGUAAAAAUGUUUCAAAAGAUAUCGCUUAGUUUUUAUACGCCCGUCAAAAUUUUGACGGGACGUAUUAUGAUAUACAAAUGUCCAGUGUCCGUCCGUCUGUCCGGCGUCAACACGUCGCACCGUAACUUGAGAACGACUUAUCCAAAUUUCAUGAAACUUAAUAUUAAUGUUUCUUAUGAUGGUCAAAUGAUCUGUAUACUUUUUGGUGAAAAUAAGAUUUAAACUUUUUGAGUUACGGCACUUUAUAACUAAAACAGGGGUGUGUUUUUUUCACAUGUCGCACUGUAUCUCAAAAACGAUUCUUGAUUAUGACUUAAAACUUUAAACACUUCUUAGUAUUUUAAUCUCAAUAUCUGUAUACUUUUUGGUGAUGAUUCAAAAUUUCAUUUUUGAGUUAUUGAGUAUUUUGUAAAAAAGGGGGAGGGUUUUUUUACAUGUCGCGCCAUAUCUCAAAAACUAUUUAUGAUUAUUGCUUAAAACUUUACACAUGUCUUUGUUAUAUUAAUCUCAAUAUCUGUAUACUUUUUGGUGAUGAUUCAAAAUUUCAUUUUUGAGUUAUUGAGUAUUUUGUAAAACGGCUUUUUACAUGUCGCGCCGUAUCUCAAAAAUAAGUUAUGAUUAUUGCUUAAAACUUUACUCACUUCUUUGAUAUAUUAAUCUAAAGAUCUGUAUACUUUUUGGUUUUGAUUCAAAAUUUUAUUUUGGUAAUAUUUAGUUUUUGUAAAAAAAAAAACAGGGUGGGGGGGUUUCACAUGUCCCGCCGUGUCUCUAAAACAAUAUAUGGUUAUUGCUUAAAACUUUCUCAUAAACUAUUUAUGAUUAUUGCAUAAGACUUCCACAUAAGACAUCGGGCGUAUCAUGCGCUCAUGGCGCAGCUGUUUAUUUUUGUAUAUGAGAUCAUACAGUCUAUACGCUUUUGAAACUCACCCUGUUUAACCAAACACUUUUCUUUGUAAGAGUUAUCUCCCCAAACACUGUUUUUCUUGUUAUCAGAUCUCCUCCGCAACUGUAAAAGAAAGCGACAAAUUUAUUUUUCAAAAUUGCUCGUUAUAUCCUCAGGAUGUUACGUUUUAUUUUGACCGAAGCUUUACGAAUACCCCAUAUGAGAGUAAUUUCCCCUUUUGUAUUGAAAUAAGUGAAAUAAAUUUGUAACUGGAAAACCAUAAGUGAUAGAGGCCUAGGGUCUUUUGAUUUGAGGCCCUUGGUCAAAAAGUAUGAAAAUGAGGUCAAGGUCAAAGGUCAAGUUCAUGAUCAAAUUUUUGAUUUUGGCUUGUUAUCUCUUAUUUCGUAACAUGUAAAUUUUACUUACGUAACAUUUAAUGCGAGUUUUGCCCCCUUUUAUAUCUAAUAUUAGUUGUAUGGUAAUAUAACUCAUUAACUCAUUAACAAUAUAAAGUAGAGGCCUAGAGUCUUUUGAUUUAAGGUCCUUGGUUGAUGACCUUGAAAUUGAGCUCAAGGUCAUAGGUAAAUUUAACGUUCUAGAUUUUGACCUUUGCUUUUUUCCUCUUAUAUAUACAUAUAAAGCCAUGGGACUUUUGGCAAAAGGUUGCAAGCAAUGUGACCUUGAAAAAUCCAACCGGAAGUGACCUUUUUGUAAACCGGAAGUAGCCGUUUUUUUGUACUAAUUUAAUGUAAAAGUAUAUAGAACCAUCUAUUUUUGGAAUCAGUGUCAAGUAAACUAUCAAAACAUACCGAAAGUAACAUCUUUUAAACCGGAAGUAAAAAAUGAUCUCCUUAUUUAUAUCUUUUUGUAUAGAAACCAUACAUUUUUGGAAUCAGUGUUCAAUAAGCUGUCAUUUGACGCUAAAAUUGACAUUUAAAACCGAAUUUUAAUAUUUUCAUAUAAAAAAGAUCUUUACUAGUGGAAAGACCAUCAAUGGUUCUCUGAACAAUUGGUUUUUAAUAUUGUUCUUACAUCUCUUCUGAAAAAAAAAUCCACAUGUUUGUUAUCAGUUAUACUCUGAAACUACAAGUCAGUUAAACUCUGCAACAUUCAGCAGCAUUUACAAAAGUACAUAAAAGUUUAUAAAACAUAUAAAAGUUUAUCAAGAUAUCUCUCAAGACUUUUAGAGAAAAGUUCUUAAAUUGCAAUACUCUGAAACUACAAGUCUAAACCCCAAAAUUGCAUUCAGCAGGGCAUACAUGCUAAUUUAUAAAACAACGUGGUGCAGAUAUCUCUCAAGACUUUUCCUAGAGAAAAGAAAUUGCAAUGCCGUAAAAAUCGCUUGCUAGGUCCGUAAAUCUCAGUGAAAUCCUACAAUAAAAUGUCCGCUCCUAGAUUGAAAUACUAAUCUGUGUUACAAACAGGUGCUGAAAAAUGUACAUUAUCAGAAAAUAAUCCUUAAAUGUGUAUUAAAGUUACACCGGAUCAAUUAAAUCCAAAACAUGCACUGCUGGUGAACUGUGAUCAAAAUGUCAAUUUCCUACAAUGACAAAAGAAAUGACAUUGUGUACAUUCCGUAUCUAUACAUGUUGUCUAUUCAACGUCCCCACCUAAAAAGGAAUAAAUAUACUAAGUUUUCGUUAUUAUAAACCCACGUCACGUGAUGUCUCCUCAAUCUGGUGCGAGAAGUCGCGCGCUGGACCUGAAAUAAAAUAAAAACUUUCCGAACUAAACAUGAAACUUCCCCAGAAUAAUAUAGACCCCUUACAGAAACAAACAAACAAACAAACACACACACACAUAACAAACAAUCAUGUUUCAAAGGGGGAAAGACCGUUUACAAUUGCUUUUUAAAAGCAAUUGAUUUAUAUUUAAUGUUUAGUUUUGUCCUUUCGUUUAAAUUUACAAUAAAAACUGAACGCAAUAAUUUUUUGAUCUUACAGUUAUCAUGAAAAUGACAUCAACAGUAUUAGAAAUAAUUAAAAUUUAAUAAAAAUGGAAGAAAACAACAUUAUCAGUUGAAAAAGCAUAAUAAUAUAUAUAGGUAAUGGUAAAUUCAAAAACAAAAAAAGCACAAAAGGGUCUGUGCAUCUCAUUUACUUGUUAAAAACAGAAAUGAUGAAAAACACCAAUAAUAGUUUCAGCAAUAUUUUGAAAUUUUCUAGUAUAUCUUGAGAUUGUGUUCUUAUUCUCAUUUCUUUUCAGAUUUAAAACAGUUCACUGUCAUCUGUAUCCCUACCUUUCUCAGUGUGUAGACAUGCCAAGAUGGUGACCAGUAUUAUAUAGUGUUCACCUAUACCUACUUGCUUCAGAUAUAACUAUAGUGCUGUUGCUGAAAUGCUGCUGCAAGACUUUAUAUUUAUACUAUAGAUUCAAGUCUUUUUGUAAAUGUAUCAUGCACAAGCAGAACAAUUUCAACGAGAUCAACAAAAGAUGAAAACUUUUUGAUACAUUUGUAAAUGAUAAAUUUUAUAAUCUGUGAUAUUGGCAUGAAAUGGUUGUAGUAGAUUAUAUUUUUAUAACUUGAAUUAAUGAAAAUUAUUGAUUUUGUAACUAUGUUUCAAAAGUGUUGCAAGUAUCUUUUUUUGUUAUGUUAUUUUUUGUUUUGGAAAAAAAGUCCCACUGAAUUUAUGUUAUUCAAGGGAGAUAAUUAUGUAAAUCCAAGUUAAAUUAAACCCAAAUAAUUUUUUAGACAACUGUAUUUUAUAGUUGUAAAACUGAGCUCUUAAGGUUUUAUGUUUUGCAAAAUUGCUGAUACAACAAAUGAUAAAAAAAGAAUUUCAGAAUAGAUGUUUGGUGCUUACAUGUGAAGUGCAAUUGAUUGAUAAGUUGGUUGUGUUCUGAUCUCAUUUAAAUUUUUAAAUUUUAUGUAAAAUUUCAUAUCACAUUCAUCAAAAUAAAGUUGUGACUAAAGUUUUAUAAUGAGAAAAUACAAUAUUUUUAUUGUGAAUUUGUCCUUUAUUUUAUUUUUCAUUAUAAUUUCCAUGACAGUUAACACUUUAUUAACUAAUAGCUGAUUUAUGAUUUCCUCUACCAGUUGAUUAUUUUUUUGUAAUCAGCACAUGGUUUGUUUUAUUUCAGUCCUCCAUUGUUCAAAAUUAAAUUUUAAAGUAAAAUUUUCUUGCUUUCCCCUGAUUUUGCUAUUGGAAUAUCAUGAAAAAAGGAUGACCUGUCUGAAAUAACUCUUUAUGCAGAUUAUUGAAAGCAAGAUAAAGUUUGUUUAAAAGUCAAUCUAGAAACAGAUUUUCUACUGAAUCAAUAUAUCUCUGAUCUCAUCAGUUUAACUGUUCAGAGUGGAAAAGUACUUUAUAGCUAUACUGUGUAUUUUUCCUUGGUCUUUCAAGCUUUAGUACUUUUCUCGGCCACAUCUCACUGUAGGGCUGUUGCCUUAGUUGAGAUUGUAGCUGAGAAUCUCUGUAUGGUUUGAAAACCCAUCAAUAAUAUAUAAGUAUCAAACUCAUUGCAGUGGUAGAAUCUAUAUUUUAACUUUCACAUGAGAUUAUCAUAUAUGAUGUGAUAACAUCAGAGAAAUAGACUAUGAAGGAAAGAUAACUCUUCUUAAAUGGCUUACUGGUGUGUGACUUUAUUGUCGUACUUGUUAAAUACUUGUUUACAAAUGUAGUAUUCGUUUGAUGUAUUUCUAAUAGACUGAACUUAUUUUUCUUAGAAAUUAA